Molecule: transfer RNA, 73 nt
Filed under: Paramuricea clavata
Lineage: Eukaryota; Metazoa; Cnidaria; Anthozoa; Malacalcyonacea; Plexauridae
Rfam family: tRNA
About the family: Transfer RNA (tRNA) molecules are approximately 80 nucleotides in length. Their secondary structure includes four short double-helical elements and three loops (D, anti-codon, and T loops).
Source: Rfam by way of RNAcentral
GACCUUGUAGCUCCACGGUAGAGCAUCGUUCUAGAAAUGCAAAGGUCGCGGGUUCGAAUCCCAGCCGCGGUCA